GACGAACGCUGGCGGCGUGCUUAACACAUGCAAGUCGAACGGAAAGGCCCUGCUUUUGUGGGGUGCUCGAGUGGCGAACGGGUGAGUAACACGUGAGUAACCUGCCCUUGACUUUGGGAUAACUUCAGGAAACUGGGGCUAAUACCGGAUAGGAGCUCCUGCUGCAUGGUGGGGGUUGGAAAGUUUCGGCGGUUGGGGAUGGACUUGCGGCUUAUCAGCUUGUUGGUGGGGUAGUGGCUUACCAAGGCUUUGACGGGUAGCCGGCCUGAGAGGGUGACCGGCCACAUUGGGACUGAGAUACGGCCCAGACUCCUACGGGAGGCAGCAGUGGGGAAUAUUGCACAAUGGGCGGAAGCCUGAUGCAGCAACGCCGCGUGCGGGAUGACGGCCUUCGGGUUGUAAACCGCUUUCGCCUGUGACGAAGCGCGAGUGACGGUAAUGGGUAAAGAAGCACCGGCUAACUACGUG
This 468-nucleotide ribosomal RNA is filed under the name uncultured bacterium. RNAcentral's name for it is "partial 16S ribosomal RNA". It matches the Rfam family "Bacterial small subunit ribosomal RNA", at positions 28 to 507 of the family's 1533-position model. The record is from RNAcentral.